Long non-coding RNA from Cucurbita moschata (crookneck pumpkin), 1161 nucleotides. RefSeq lists it as uncharacterized. The transcript is spliced from 2 exons. NCBI's taxonomy places the organism in Eukaryota, Viridiplantae, Streptophyta, Magnoliopsida, Cucurbitales, Cucurbitaceae. The record is from RefSeq and is a predicted model, not a curated record.
UCAUAUCUUGUGGACUUAUAACUGAUUUCAUCUCACCAUGUGUGUUACCACCUAGCUUUAGCGAACUGCUUUCUUUAUUGACCACCGUCCCUUCUGCCGGUCUUUAACUAUGCCUUCUCUUAUUUAUGAGCCAAGCGAUAUGCUUAGGGACAAUAGGUACACAGAAGCAUAAUGGCGAGGGCUGCUAGCAUUCAACCCAACGAUGUAAAUACAUUCACGAACGCAAGUACCAAUAAAAAGGAAUCUGAUUUGGCUCUGCUGGUGAGUAAUAAGGACCUUUGAGGUUCACAAUAGUAUGAUUGAAGAAUGAUUGUAUUUCUGACAUGAGAGCAAAGUAUGUGGCGAGUUGAAAGGUUGUUUAACUUUACACAAUAGUAGCCUGAUGAAGAUGGUUAGUUGAUAGCUAGACAACACUGCAGCUUGUAGGCUUCGUUAACUUCGGAUACCCAAAGAAAGCUGAAAAUGGUCCCAGAUCGAUGCUAUUGCAUAAAAUAUUCGAUAACCCCAACAAAAUCAACACUUUAUGCUCUGUAUACUUGUAAGGUGAUUUUGGAAUGCACUUUAAUAUUUCUUUCAACGGAGGUGCGUGACACUUCUCACUUUCAAAAGUGAGAAUGGUGACUGGACUUUAAUAUUGCUUUGCUUUUCUUUCCUUUUCUUUCCACCUCUUUUUGGGAAAAUUCAUCUAACUGUUUGAGAUUAUAACAGGGUAUCUAUUUUGUGAUCUUUAACUGGAUGGCGUGCCAUUCCCCAUUGCUUUGCUUGCUUCAGAAAUCUUAAUCAUCAUGCCUUUCAGCUGAAAAAACCUCCGCCCCACUUACCUUGAUGAUGAAAUUGGCGAAGACCAUUCCCAGUUGAGACUAUCCAACUUUCCUCAAGCUGCAGCUUUCAGGUACAAAUGGAAAGCUAAUGACGGUAAUUCUUAGAAUCAUCGAAAAAAAGAAGAGGUAUCUUUCGGUCGUGAAAAGGUUAGUUAUGCUUGUUAAUCCAUCGUGACUAGAAUUUCUAUCUACUUGUGAUGGUUAAAGCAUCUAUCUUAUCAUCAUAAUCUAGAAUUGAAUCAAUAAAUAACCUGAUUUUAAUGAUUAGAGUUUAGAUAAACACGAUUACUAUCAAAUAUUGUUUGGUUCUCUUUAAAUUUAUGCAUGAUUCCACGUUCUA